GAUGAACGCUAGCGGCAGGCUUAACACAUGCAAGUCGAGGGGUAGAGGAAGCUUGCUUCCUUGAGACCGGCGCACGGGUGCGUAACGCGUAUACAAUCUACCUUUUACAGAGGGAUAGCCCCAGAGAAAUUUGGAUUAAUACCUCAUAGUAUUUUCGGAUCGCAUGAUUUGAUUAUUAAAGUUCCAACGGUAAAGAUGAGUAUGCGUCCCAUUAGCUAGAUGGUAAGGUAACGGCUUACCAAGGCUACGAUGGGUAGGGGUCCUGAGAGGGAGAUCCCCCACACUGGUACUGAGACACGGACCAGACUCCUACGGGAGGCAGCAGUGAGGAAUAUUGGACAAAUGGGGCGCAAGCCUGAUCCAGCCAUGCCGCGUGCAGGAUGACGGUCCUAUGGAUUGUAAACUGCUUUUAUACAGGAAGAAACACUCCGACGUGUCGGAGCUUGUAACGGGUACCUAGUAAGAAAUAAGGAUCGGCUAACUCCGUG
RNAcentral lists this ribosomal RNA (488 nucleotides) under uncultured bacterium. RNAcentral describes it as "bacterial SSU rRNA". It matches the Rfam family "Bacterial small subunit ribosomal RNA", at positions 28 to 507 of the family's 1533-position model. The record is from RNAcentral.